GAGUACAGCGGCGGACGGGUGCGUAACACGUGAGAAUCUGCCCUUUAGUGAAGAAUACCUCCGAGAAAUCGGGGUUAAUGCUGCAUACGUCCCUUCGGGGAGAAAGAUGGCCUCUUUGCUGUCGCUAAAGGAUGAGCUUGCGGGCUAUUAGCUAGUUGGUGGGGUAAAGGCCUACCAAGGCGAUGAUGGCUAGCCGACCUGAGAGGGUGAUCGGCCACACUGGAACUUAGACACGGUCCAGACUCCUACGGGAGGCAGCAGUGGGGAAUAUUGCGCAAUGGGCGAAAGCCUGACGCAGCGACGCCGCGUGGAGGAUGAAGGUCUUCGGAUUGUAAACUUCUGUUAAGUGGGAAGAAAGGUCCGUUUUUAAUAGAAACGGGCAAUGACGGUACCAUUAAAGAAAGCACCGGCUAACUUCGCGCCAGCAGCCGCGGUAAUACGAAGGGUGCAAGCGUUAUUCGGAAUCAUUGGGCGUACAGGGUGCGUAGGUGGUGUAUUAAGUCAACUGUUAAAUUCUCCGGCCUAACCGGAGGUCAGCGGUAGAAACUGAUAUGCUAGAGGAUAGAAGAGAGAAGUGGAAUUCUCGGAGUAGCGGUAAAAUGCGUGGAUCUCGAGAGGAACACCGAUGGCGAAGGCAGCUUCUUGGUCUAUUCCUGACACUGAGGCACGAAAGCGUGGGUAGCAAACAGGAUUAGAUACCCUGGUAGUCCACGCCCUAAACGAUGAUCACUAGACGUCGGUUCUGGUUUACAGAAUUGGUGUCGUAGCUAACGCGAUAAGUGAUCCGCCUGGGGACUACGGUCGCAAGGCUAAAACUCAAAGGAAUUGACGGGGGCCCGCACAAGCGGUGGAACAUGUGGUUUAAUUCGACACUACGCGAGGAACCUUACCUAGACU
RNAcentral lists this ribosomal RNA (897 nucleotides) under uncultured bacterium. Its description in RNAcentral is "bacterial SSU rRNA". It matches the Rfam family "Bacterial small subunit ribosomal RNA", at positions 88 to 981 of the family's 1533-position model. The record is from RNAcentral.